CCUACGGGAGGCAGCAGUGAGGAACAUUGGUCAAUGGGCGAGAGCCUGAACCAGCCAAGUCGCGUGAGGGAGUACUGCCCUAUGGGUUGUAAACCUCUUUUGUCGGGGAGCAAAAGCCGGACGUGUCCGGCUGUGAGAGUACCCGAAGAAAAAGCAUCGGCUAACUCCGUGCCAGCAGCCGCGGUAAUACGGAGGAUGCGAGCGUUAUCCGGGUUUAUUGGGUUUAAAGGGUGCGCAGGCGGAUUUUUAAGUCAGCGGGAAAAUCGUGGGGCUCAACCCGAUCCAGCCGUUGAAACUGGGGAUCUAGAGUGUGCGAGAGGUAUGCGGAAUGCGUGGUGUAGCGGUGAAAUGCAUAGAUAUCACGCAGAACCCCGAUUGCGAAGGCAGCAUACCGGUGCACAACUGACGCUCAGGCACGAAAGCGUGGGUAUCGAACAGGAUUAGAUACCCGGGUAGUC
This 458-nucleotide ribosomal RNA is filed under the name uncultured bacterium. RNAcentral describes it as "partial 16S ribosomal RNA". It matches the Rfam family "Bacterial small subunit ribosomal RNA", at positions 338 to 795 of the family's 1533-position model. The record is from RNAcentral.